RNAcentral lists this ribosomal RNA (253 nucleotides) under uncultured bacterium. RNAcentral's name for it is "partial 16S ribosomal RNA". It matches the Rfam family "Bacterial small subunit ribosomal RNA", at positions 524 to 776 of the family's 1533-position model. The record is from RNAcentral.
GACGUAGGGCGCGAGCGUUGUCCGGAUUUAUUGGGCGUAAAGAGCUCGUAGGCGGCUCAUUGCGUCAACCGUGAAAACCUGCCGCUCAACGGUAGGCUUGCGGUUGAUACGGGUGGGCUGGAGUUCGGUAGGGGAGACUGGAAUUCCUGGUGUAGCGGUGAAAUGCGCAGAUAUCAGGAGGAACACCGGUGGCGAAGGCGGGUCUCUGGGCCGAUACUGACGCUGAGGAGCGAAAGCGUGGGGAGCGAACAGG